RNAcentral lists this long non-coding RNA (1903 nucleotides) under Malus domestica (apple). RNAcentral's name for it is "long non-coding RNA (MDOM_LNC012400)". The record is from RNAcentral. Lineage: Eukaryota; Viridiplantae; Streptophyta; Magnoliopsida; Rosales; Rosaceae.
GGCUCAUCAUAGUCUACCACCGAUAUUAACAAUAUUGUUCUCAAUUACUUAUUACUAAGUGUAAAAAUUUUAUUAUAAAAAAUCUUAAUAAUAUUAGGGGUGAAAUAUUUUAUAUAUAAAUUGUAUAAUAUUUAUUAUAUUUAUUAUAUUCAAAAUCAACUAUACAAAAUUUCCAUGGUCGUGCAUGCAAUCAUAACCAAAAUCAACAGUAAUGGUAGAAGUUUUAAAAUAAAACUGGCCGUCCUUAUUUAUUUUUCUUGCAGUUUCUCAAAGGGUAAAAUGGUAAUUAAAAUGUUUCUCAAAAUAGUGAGUGUAAAAUACGAAUUCUGAGAAGCAUUUAAAAAAUAGUUUGAAUUUUGAGAAUUUAAUUAUAAACUGGGUGAAAAGUGGGCAACCGGGCCAAGGGCAAUGCCCACGCUCUUCUGAGCGCAGGGGUCAAGAGUACUGCAUGCAGAAAGAUCCUCAUCAAAAUAAUGACUGAAGGAACACACUUCCCUCCCAUCUUAAUAUCUUUACAAAGGUGACUUGGAGAUACCACAGCCCUUCAAAUCGGAUAAACACAAGUUCAUCCAACAACAUCAUAUGAUUAAAAAGAUUAUGCGAGAUUAGCUCUUCUUCAAUAGCCACGUACAAGGCAUAUACUCUUCUUUGAAGGGAUAAUCUAUUGCACCAAUAAUCCUUUCAUCCCUCCCCUCCCUGGGUUGAAAGACUUAAACACACUUGGUUAGCUACAAUAAUUUGAUAUCGAACUCGUUAUCUACAUAAAUCAAACUUAAGACCGUCACCUACAAAAUAAAGAAGAGUAUUACUAAAUUGUAGUACUAAUAAAUGACGUAUAUUAUCACAUUUACUAUUUUGGAUUAACUACAUUUUGCACUACAAGGUUUUGGAAUUCUUUGCAAAUGAGCCACGAAGUUUCAAUUUACGCAUAUUACACCACGUGGUUUUUUAAUGACACCAAUGUAACACCUUCGUCAAUUUCAUAAAAAUUUUUACUUCUCAUACACUCCUCGUUAAUUACUGCCGUUUGAUCUUUUUUAAUUCAGUCGAUCCAACGAUCACAAAUUAAAAGAGUAUAUAUCAAGGAAAAAGGGGUGUGGAUAACACACCCCUUUCAUAAAAAAUUAAAAUAAAGUACUAACAGUGAAAUUGACUAUCAAGGUGUGUUUCAAAUGUGGGACCAUACUAUUCAAAAACAACACAGUGUAAUAUGCUAAAAUUAAAACCUUGUAGCUUAUUUUUACAAAAUGAUCUCCAAACCCUGUGGUGUAAAAUCCAGUUAACCCAACUUUGUGCAUCCUAUCUUUUUCUGCUUUAAUCAAUAAUACUCACACAUUAUUACCUUCAACAUCACAUGAUGUAGAAAGAGAUGGAGCACACACUCAUCACGGGAUCACGUCAGUUCAGCAUUUCUCUAUCAAAUAGACUAAUCUUCAAAUUUAAAACAGAUUCUUAUGGUUCUUGCAUUGUAUAGACACGCUGCCAUUGUUACAAUUAGAUUGACAGUAUUCUUCUCUUUUCAUCAGUAAUAGUGUGGAGCCAAAAAUAAUCAAGAGGCGACACAUGGAUUUUUGGGUAAAAAAUGACAAAAUUACAUUUGAGGUACACCAGAAUUUCUACGCGCGAGCAGUGGACAAUCAUUCCUUAAUCAAGUCAAAAGUACCCAAAUAUGUAUUUAUUUAUAAACUAUUUCAUCCAUUGCUCAUCAUAUCUUCUCCACAAUGUAAUCCUUAAAUCAUUCCUUUUUUAUUAUAUUAACUAGCUAAUUAAUUAAUUAAUUAUUCAAUUAAUUUGCUAAUUAAACACAAAUCAUGAACGUGACCCACAAAUCCAUCCAAGUGGCCGGUCCAUCUCCUCCCAAGGUGGCCGACCACACUCCUAUAUAAACCCCCUCAUUAUCUCC